This is a long non-coding RNA of Hippocampus zosterae (dwarf seahorse), 1366 nucleotides long. RefSeq lists it as uncharacterized. The record is from RefSeq and is a predicted model, not a curated record. The transcript is spliced from 2 exons. NCBI's taxonomy places the organism in Eukaryota, Metazoa, Chordata, Actinopteri, Syngnathiformes, Syngnathidae.
CUGCGCCAACGGUUUGUCAACUUGAGGGUUUUUUUUUAAGUUGAAAGGUCCUUACAGUCAAUGGCGCGCUGCGCGGAGGAAUUUCACCUCGCUGGUUGGUGUCUGGCCGACUUGAAUUGCUCCCUACGCGGACAACAAAUUUUAUGGACUGAUGAGAGCAAGAUAAACUUCAACCAAAGUGAUGGAAAAGCCAAACUAUGGAGUAAAAAAGUAUCCAAAAACACACAAGCUCAUCCAGAAGAGGAGACUGACAUGGUACCCCUACUCCCAGAAAUGAACAAGAACUGAAAGAGACUGCAGUAAAGGCCUGGAAAAGCAUUUCAAAUGAAGAAUGCAACAGUCUGGUGAAGUCAAUGAGUUUCAAGCUUGAUGCAGUUUUUGCAAAUAAUGGUUAUGCCACCAAAUAUGAAAUGUGACUCACCUAAGUUCAUUUAAUAAUGAUUGAUCCACUACUUUUGCUCACUUAGGUGCCGUAAAAUAAAUGUUGCAGUAUCCUGAGUUGGUUUAACACAUCUCUCAUUCAUUUGUGGCAUUACACAGCCCCACACUGCAGUUUAAAUUACAUUAAAAGUGCAUUCAUCGUAAAACCUUAAUUGGCUGUAACUUUCAACAUCCAUUAUAGUGACACUGCUAAAACAAGUUAAACACUGUAUGGUCUGUGAAUGUCUUUUGUUAAAGUUACAGCGGUUGUAAAAGUGCUUAAGAUGUAUUGUAUUGCAUGAUGGAACUAAGAGAAAGACAAACUAUUCUGACGUUGCAGCCGCCAAAGCAGAAAAAAAGAACAGGACGGCGUUUGCAGGGCUGCCACCUAGUGUUGUUUUCACAGUCAUCCUGGAAGUUAAUCAGUGUCACCAAAUUGUGUAGUUUUACACUGGAGGAGUUAAUAACGCAAGCAUGUAAGGGGAAUUAAUCAGGAAUAUUUGCCACAUUCAGUCUGGUCUGGAAGGUGUGUUGUGCGACUGGAAAUCAAGAGUAAAAGCAAAUAACACCUCAAUCACAAACAUGGACAGAAGCAUCAGCAUGAAUGAAUGACAGUUUUAUUCAAAGGUUCUUAGUUUGAAAAACAAAAGGUUCAUUGGGGCAUUUAGUACAAGACACUUUGCAGUCUAUGAUUGACAUGAUAUGAAUUAUUUUCUUGGGACUGAGAGAGGUAGCUGGAGUAUGUGGAGAGCACCCAUCAUAAGAUGUGCACACACGUGCAACUGUCUUUUUUUUCCUCUGAUACAUCCUCGCCCAAAUAUUUUUUCCCCCCAAUUGAGCUAUACAAACUCAAAAACGAUUGAGAUUAAGAAAUGUUUUUUUUUUAAAUAUCAUGGGUGUGGAGACAGUUUAUAACUAACUGUACACACACUUCUGGUGCAUUUUU